GUUAACCGAGAAGAGUGUACCUGCAGGCCCGGAGACCCAACCACGCUCCCAGGACCGCAUUCUCAGGACCCAGGCGUUAUAACACAGCGCCUCCUGCAGGCUGGAGUUUGUUUUGUUACUUUCUGGAGACUUCACGCUACAUGGAAACAACAACUCAAAAGAGGAAGUUUCUGGAUGAAACCGUGUGUUGAAUGCUGCAGCAAUCAACAAUGCCCGAUUUGUUCUACAAGGAGGAGCUGCUGGUUAACCGGCUGGACUUUAGUUGGAUCUGUGAUCAAGUCUGAACCCGGUGAGGAAGAACUUUAAAGAACCAAGAAAACUUCACACAAACUCCAUGAUAUGAGCCGGAGAACCAAAGAAAAACUUUCUUCGAAGAUUUUAAACUUAAUUUGACAAAAAAAUGUUUGUUAGUUUAUGAACGUUGGAUAGUAGGAAUUCAUAACAGCUAGAUAAGAGAAAGUGUAAAAAAAUAAUAAAAAGUUUAAAAACUGAUAAAUAAAUGUUAAAAAAUGGGGGUAAAAUGAAUAAAAAUAGUAAUAAUUAUAACAAUAACAGCAAUACUUUUAAACAACAGCUGCCAAAUCUGACCCUGCAGGUCUGCAAUAUUUAAAGAUAAAAAGUAAUAACCUUUUUUUCAGAAAAUACUUUGAUAUGUUUGUGUUUGCAUCAUUAAAAACCGACCAUUAUGCUCAGUAGUUUUACUUUCUUUUAUCUUUUAUGAAUGUUAUUGCUGACUGCUUUAUAUGCUGUCUUUAAUUUUGUUCUCAGUUUGCCUAAUUUCCCUUUUUUAUUCAGUCUUUAAUUGUUGGUGCCCUAAAGGAGUUGUGUUAUAUCAAAUAAAUAAAGCUUCAUUCAUUCAUUGUAAACGUGCUCUGCGAUCUAAAAAUCAAAAGAAAAGAAUCUUAAAAUGUGUCAUAUUUUAAAUGGAUAAAGUUCCUGAGCAAUCUAAGCAAAUAUGCCUUAAUAGAUAAAUGUUAAAAUGAUUGAAGCCAAUCACCUAAAAAAACCUUUUUGACCCUGAAGCAUCCAAGGGGUCAAAUUUGGAUCCUAUUUUUUAUUUAAUUUCAUUUCUCUUUUCUUAUGGUUUGGUUGCUGUUAAAACUUCAAAAGGCCAAAAGAAAAUCACUUUUGGGUUCUCCUGAGGUAAAAAAAUCAUUUAAAUAUAUUUACUAAAGUUCACAACAGUGCACAGCUUGUUAAAAGUCUCAAUAUUAUAUUUUCAUGACAUAUAAACAUUUUUUCUCUUGCACAUGUGAUUCAAAGAAGAAAAGUGAUUGCAUAACGGUCUUAUCUGUAAAAAGGUUUGGUGUUACAAUCUCAUCAGUUCAACGAUAGUGGGAAUCGUUGUUCCAAAUGGCCGCUAUCAGUCUUUCUAAGAAAAUGUUUGUGAAGGUUUAUUGGCUCCUCGUGUUUUCUGUCUAAGAUCUUGUUUCCGCGGAGAGAUCACAAGUGAUGUUAUUCUAGUCAUUAAAAUACUUACUUGGCUAAAACCAUCAUAUUUGUAAUGAAUAUGCGAAUAUUUAUCUUUUGAAGUGUUUGAGAAUACUAAAUAGAAACUACUAAUAAAAAAUAAAGCAAUAAUUAUUGAAAAUUUUCUUU
Oryzias melastigma (Indian medaka) is the source of this 1599-nucleotide long non-coding RNA. RefSeq lists it as uncharacterized. The transcript has 3 exons. The record is from RefSeq and is a predicted model, not a curated record. Lineage: Eukaryota; Metazoa; Chordata; Actinopteri; Beloniformes; Adrianichthyidae.